This 729-nucleotide ribosomal RNA is filed under the name uncultured Bacteroidota bacterium. RNAcentral describes it as "bacterial SSU rRNA". It matches the Rfam family "Bacterial small subunit ribosomal RNA", at positions 119 to 849 of the family's 1533-position model. Lineage: Bacteria; Pseudomonadati; Bacteroidota. The record is from RNAcentral.
ACGCAACUUUCCUCUAAGCGGGGCAUAGCUCGGAGAAAUCCGGAUUAAUACCCCAUAACAUUGCAGAUAGGCAUCUAUCAACAAUUAAAGAUUUAUCACUUAGAGAUGGGCGUGCGGCUGAUUAGGUAGUUGGCGGGGUAACGGCCCACCAAGCCUGCGAUCAGUAACUGGUGUGAGAGCACGACCAGUCACACGGGCACUGAGACACGGGCCCGACUCCUACGGGAGGCAGCAGUAAGGAAUAUUGGUCAAUGGACGAAAGUCUGAACCAGCCAUGCCGCGUGGAGGAUGAAGGCCCUCUGGGUUGUAAACUUCUUUUAUCUGGGACGAAAAAGGACCUUUCUAGGUCAACUGACGGUACCAGAGGAAUAAGCACCGGCUAACUCCGUGCCAGCAGCCGCGGUAAUACGGAGGGUGCAAGCGUUAUCCGGAUUCACUGGGUUUAAAGGGUGCGUAGGUGGGCAGGUAAGUCAGUGGUGAAAUCUCUGGGCUUAACCCGGAAACUGCCAUUGAUACUAUUUGUCUUGAAUAUUGUGGAGGUCAGCGGAAUAUGUCAUGUAGCGGUGAAAUGCUUAGAUAUGACAUAGAACACCAAUUGCGAAGGCAGCUGGCUACACAUAUAUUGACACUGAUGCACGAAAGCGUGGGGAUCAAACAGGAUUAGAUACCCUGGUAGUCCACGCCCUAAACGAUGGAUACUCGACAUACGCCAUAUACUGUGUGUGUCUG